GUGGUUCGGGUCCGCUUUCGUCUCUGUCCUGCUGCCGUUACCGCCGCCGCUGCUGCCGCCGCUUGCGCCCCCCCCCCCCCGCUCCGGUCUGUGGUGCAGCCGGGACCCAGGACCAUGUCGCUGUCUCGCUCAGAGGAGAUGCACCGGCUCACGGAAAAUGUCUAUAAGACCAUCAUGGAGCAGUUCAACCCUAGCCUCCGGAACUUCAUCGCCAUGGGGAAGAAUUACGAGAAGGCACUGGCAGGUGUGACGUAUGCAGCCAAAGGCUACUUUGACGCCCUGGUGAAGAUGGGAGAGCUGGCCAGCGAGAGCCAGGGCUCCAAAGAACUCGGUCUAGCCUGGGGCAGAGAGGAGAUGGCAGGUGGACACCUGGGAGGGGCUCACUGAGCUCCGCCUCUCCAUCAGCGGAGGCCCCGUCUAGGUUGUGGAGGAUGCUUGAGAGAGCCCUGACCUUCUGACCUCCCAAAAGGUCAAGGGCGCUGGCAGCAGGUGAGACGCCGCAGUUUGCUCUGCUCCCCGGGGCUGUGCUUGCCAGGAGACAUUUCGGCUAUAAGCAGGCGAGAGCACCU
This 569-nucleotide small RNA is filed under the name Pan troglodytes (chimpanzee). RNAcentral describes it as "processed transcript". The record is from RNAcentral. Lineage: Eukaryota; Metazoa; Chordata; Mammalia; Primates; Hominidae.